GGAGAGAUGCCGGAGUGGUCGAUCGGGGCGGUCUCGAAAACCGUUGACCACAUUGUGGUCCCAGGGUUCGAAUCCCUGUCUCUCCG
RNAcentral lists this transfer RNA (86 nucleotides) under Bacteroidales bacterium. RNAcentral's name for it is "tRNA-Ser". It matches the Rfam family "tRNA". Rfam says of the family: Transfer RNA (tRNA) molecules are approximately 80 nucleotides in length. Their secondary structure includes four short double-helical elements and three loops (D, anti-codon, and T loops). The record is from RNAcentral. Lineage: Bacteria; Pseudomonadati; Bacteroidota; Bacteroidia; Bacteroidales.